Dromiciops gliroides (monito del monte) is the source of this 2117-nucleotide long non-coding RNA. RefSeq lists it as uncharacterized. The record is from RefSeq and is a predicted model, not a curated record. NCBI's taxonomy places the organism in Eukaryota, Metazoa, Chordata, Mammalia, Microbiotheria, Microbiotheriidae. The transcript is spliced from 7 exons.
CCUCGCCUGGCCGGCCUCGCCUGGCCGGCCUCGCCUGGCCGGCCUCGCCUGGCCGCUUCUGCUUGCCUUCCCUCAGCUCUUCCGCACCCCGAGCCGAGGACGGAAACUUCUCGAAAUUCCGCCAGAGUCCGCCCUAAAUCUGUGUCCUUCAUUGUGCCUCGAAGGAAUUCCUCAAAGUUCCUCCAUCUGUGAAGAUCUAAUCUCUGCCAGCCUCACAUUAGAGAAUCUUCUAGAUGGAAAUGAUGUAACAACUACUGUGAAAGGCUUAAGCCAAUAAAGAAACUCAUUGGCAAGGCAGAAUGUUUGUGUAAGGGAGCAGAAGAGAGCAGAUCUACCCUACUAAGUGUAUGGUGUCACACCAGCAGAUGGAGAACUACUACCCGACCUGAGAAUCAAAGCAUGUGCAGGCUCGGCCUUCUCCUUCCCUCCAGCUUUCUUUCAUGUCGUCCUUGGCCAACAUCCUUCUCCAAACUGCAGUGGGCAAAAUUUUGUUGCAUCACUGCCUGUCCUUCUCAUGCAUCUAUUCUGCUUCCUUCCGUCACCGAGAAAAUGUAUUUGGAGCUUGCAAUCUUGGAUUGCUCUGGGCUCCUAAGCAAGAGAAGACCAGCACAAUGAAGGGCCUAAUAUUACUUCCUGCAUCUUUUGUCAGCAGGGCUUCCCCAAUGGAAUGGGAUGGAAGCACCUUUUCUGCCAGUGAAGUGCUUUUGCUCCCCUGACAACGGAAAUAUUUAAGGGAAUGUCCAGAAGACAAAGCCCAGGGCAAGACAGUGGGCUUGUGCGCAGGGCAUCCAUAGCCUUUGCCUGAUAUGUGGAAAUCCACUUCUGGUUGCUAGUCCCGGAUCUGUGUCCUUCAUGGAAGGUUCUAGGUGUUACACCAGCAGAUGGAGAACAACUACCCGACCUGAGAAUCAAAGCAUAUGCAGGCUUGGCCUUCUCCUUCCCUCCAGAAUGUUGUCUAAUGUUCAAUGGUAACGGAUUUCCCUAAGAACCUGUGUCCUUGAAGAAUGUUAGGAUCAGAUAUAAUGGGAUUUCACAAUCUUGUUAAAGAGCUAGCAUUAACUUUCCAUUCAUGGUGAUGGCAAUAACACAACCAAGGCUUGCCUUGAUAUUGUCCCUGGCCGAAUUUAUGGUGGUGUCCAGACCCUCGGAACCUGUCCUCAAAUCUAACAGAGAACAUAAUCUACCUUGAAUGAAUGUAAACAGGAAAAGAACUUCCAAUUACCUCAAAGGAAAGCUUGUGUGUGACCCUGUGCAUCCGUGUCAAUAUAUUCUGUUUCUACAGAAUACCCUAUGUGGCCUUGGAUUGGUGUGGGUAUUUAUGAUGUCACUUUGUCCUGCUCCAUCCCAGGAAGACUGACUUCUUUUCAGUAAUUCCCCCAGUUAACCUAAUUAACCCCAGUAAAACCUCUUAAUAACCAAGCUGAUAAGAGCCCCUCUUUCUUUGUUAUCUCAGUAUCUUAGAGGGUAUGCCACCCUGCAUUUGGCAUAAUUAGGGCAGACCCAUUCUGUCCUCUUGUAUUUGGUGUAAUCACCGGGAUACCAAAUAUAUGGGCUUGGGGAGGAUGGCUUCUAUGGGGAAAUCCUCAUCAUUCUCAUACCUGGGGAAAUAGUGGCAUGUCUGCUUGGGCCCAUUUGGUCAUCACUUGAUGUGUGAGUUGUGGCCUGAGACAAAACACAUUGGCUUGGGCAGCUAGGUGGCACAGUAGAUAAAGCACCAGGUCUGGAUUCAGGAGGACCUGAGUUCAAAUCCGGCCUCAGACACUUGACACUUACUAGCUGUGUGACCCUGGGCAAGUCACUUAACCCUCACUGCCCCACCAAAAAAAAAAAAAGAAGAAAAAGAAAGAAAAGAAAACACAUUGGUUUGUGCUUGAAAGGCUUCUUUAUCAGGGUAGGGGGUAGGAAACUUCUUUGCAGGCUUUCAGUUUUUCUCUUUUCUUUUUUAAAAAAUAAACUUGUUUAUUUAAAGUUUUGAAUUCCAAAUUCUAUCCCUCCUCUCUCCCCUCCCUUUCCCCUGCUUGAGGCUGUGAGCAUUCACAUAUUGGUUAUACAUAUGCAGUUAUUUAAAACAUCACCAUAUUAGUCAUUUUGUACAACAAAAAUUGAAUAAAAAUGAA